AUACGUAGGUGGCGAGCGUUGUCCGGAAUUACUGGGUGUAAAGGGAGCGUAGACGGAAGGCCAAGUCUGAUGUGAAAGCCCGCGGCUCAACUGCGGGACUGCAUUGGAAACUGGUCAUCUGGAGUGCAGGAGGGGUAAGCGGAAUUCCUAGUGUAGCGGUGAAAUGCGUAGAUAUUAGGAGGAACACCGGUGGCGAAGGCGGCUUACUGGACUGUAACUGACGUUGAGGCUCGAAAGCGUGGGAGCAAACAGGAUUAGAUACCCUGGUAGUCCACGCUGUAAACGAUGAAUACUAGGUGUGGGGGGACUGACCCCCUCCGUGCCGCAGUUAACACAAUAAGUAUUCCACCUGGGGAGUACGAUCGCAAGAUUGAAACUCAAAGGAAUUGACGGGG
Molecule: ribosomal RNA, 395 nt
Filed under: uncultured bacterium
Lineage: Bacteria
Description: partial 16S ribosomal RNA
Rfam family: Bacterial small subunit ribosomal RNA
Source: RNAcentral